GAACGGUCUUGGUACUAAAAUCAGAGUUACGAGUAUCAGUCCUGGAUUGGUAGCUACAGAGCUAACUACUUUAGGUACAAAGUUACCAUCAGACGUUAGAGAGGAAUUUAAUAAACGAGCUAUUAUGAAAGGCGAAGAUAUUGCUGACGGCGUUGUAUACGUUUUGUCAACGCCAGGGCAUGUUCAAGUUCACGAACUAACGAUAAAACCGUUUUAGCAGCAAAAACCUCCAAACAUUAUGUUAGUUUACCUUCGGUAUUGUAUAACUGCAUAGAUAGUCGUUCUCUUAUCAAUAGCUAACGCCAUAGAAAAUAUUGACAAUUGG
Long non-coding RNA from Zophobas morio, 325 nucleotides. RefSeq lists it as uncharacterized. The record is from RefSeq and is a predicted model, not a curated record. Lineage: Eukaryota; Metazoa; Arthropoda; Insecta; Coleoptera; Tenebrionidae. The transcript is spliced from 3 exons.